AGCAGCCGCGGUAAUUCCAGCUCCAAUAGCGUAUAUUAAAGUUGUUGCAGUUAAAAAGCUCGUAGUUGAAUUUCGGGAUUUAUCCGUCGGUCGGGCUUUUGGGUCUGUACUGGCGUGAUGGAUUCCUACCUUCUGAAUAACCGGCAUGUCAUUAAUUUGGUGCGCCGGGAAGCAGGACUGUUACCUUGAAAAAAUUAGAGUGCUUAAAGCAGGCUUAUGCCUGAAUACAUUAGCAUGGAAUAAUGAAAUAGGACGGCAUGGUUCUAUUUUGUUGGUUUCUAGGAUCACCGUAAUGAUUAAUAGGGAUAGUUGGGGGCAUUAGUAUUCAAUUGUCAGAGGUGAAAUUCUUGGAUUUAUUGAAGACUAACUUCUGCGAAAGCAUUUGCCAAGGAUGUUUUCAUUAAUCAAGACGAAAGUUAGGGAUCGAAGACGAUCAGAUACCGUCGUAGUCUUAACCAUAAACUAUAGCCGACUAGGGAUCGGACGAUGUUAAUUUUUAUGUACUCGUUCGCGCCGUUAC
This 520-nucleotide ribosomal RNA is filed under the name uncultured Acaulospora. RNAcentral's name for it is "SSU rRNA". It matches the Rfam family "Eukaryotic small subunit ribosomal RNA", at positions 569 to 1091 of the family's 1831-position model. The record is from RNAcentral. Lineage: Eukaryota; Fungi; Glomeromycota; Glomeromycetes; Diversisporales; Acaulosporaceae.